This 30-nucleotide non-coding RNA is filed under the name Rattus norvegicus (Norway rat). Lineage: Eukaryota; Metazoa; Chordata; Mammalia; Rodentia; Muridae. The record is from RNAcentral.
UCUUGAGUCAAUAAACAUGGUGAGGAUAGG